GAAUCAAUUUGUUGGUCGUGCCUCGGUACGUACUGGUAUUAUUGGUUUCUACCUUCUGAAGAACCUUGAUGUCAUUAAUUUGGCGUCUUGGGGAAUCAGGACUGCUACUUUGAAAAAAUUAGAGUGUUUAAAGCAGGCUCACGCUUGAAUACAUUAGCAUGGAAUAAUGAAAUAGGACGGCAUGAUUCUAUUUUGUUGGUUUCUAGGAUUGACGUA
Molecule: unclassified non-coding RNA, 216 nt
Filed under: uncultured Glomus
Lineage: Eukaryota; Fungi; Glomeromycota; Glomeromycetes; Glomerales; Glomeraceae
Description: sequence contains 18S rRNA gene
Rfam family: Eukaryotic small subunit ribosomal RNA (bases 37-216)
Source: RNAcentral